Long non-coding RNA from Marmota monax (woodchuck), 5564 nucleotides. RefSeq lists it as uncharacterized. Lineage: Eukaryota; Metazoa; Chordata; Mammalia; Rodentia; Sciuridae. The transcript is spliced from 2 exons. The record is from RefSeq and is a predicted model, not a curated record.
UUAAUGCUUAAUCUGUGGGGAGGUUGUAAGCAUUCAAUUAAAAAUGUGUAUGUGAUCAUCUCGAAUGGUGCUAGGGCACGCAGUGGGCAGUAAGAGACAAAUGCUCCCUGUUUCUCUAUGUUUACUAUUGGAGACUUAGAAUUCCAAGCUGGAAGGAACGUGUCUUUGCUUGCAGAAGUCUUAAACGUCUGCCAAAGUCCUCUCUGAAAUGUUUUUGGAGCGGAACUUCACAGAUCUUGAGCUCUUGGAAGAGUCCUUAUUGAUCAUACUUGGGUAUCUCCUGGAGAACUUCAAUAAGUGCUUGUUGAACUGAUUGGAUACUUCAGCCCCCGGUGGUGGGGGGUCUCACAUAGCCUUCUCUGGCACUGGCUCAACUUUGGACCAUUUCCCUACAUCUUCUUGUCUUCCUGGCCAGGGCAAUAUACCCCAGGUUCUGAAAUCCAGGCAAUGAAGAUGGUGGAGGAAGAGGAAAAAGUAGAAAAGAGAGAUACCUAUUAGUUUUAUCAUAUCGUGGUUUAAAGUAUCAACUUGGUUAUUUCUUAAAAAUGGACUCCACUAUAAAGAGCAAUUAUGACUGUAAACGUAGAUCCCAAGGCUCUUGGCAUUAGUGUACCCAAACUGGAAUGUGUUUGGAAGACUAUGUAGCUCAAGGGCUUAUUCCUGAAAUUUCUUCUCAGUGGGUAUAGUUUGUCAAAAAUAUUAUUUUCUUCAUUCAAUAAUUUUUGUUCUACCUAACAAGCAUUUUUUUUUUUUUUGCAAAAUAUGGGGAUAUCAUCAUCAACAUUCCGUGCAUGCAUGCAUCUCUUUGUGGUUACAAAAUACUUUUUAACUAUGUCACCUUGAGCUUCAAAUCCCCUGGGGAAGAAGACAGAGGAAUAUUUACAGCAUUUGGAUCAUGGAGAAACUAUAGCACGGAGCAGGGAGAUGAUUUGCUUUCAAGCACAAGCAGGCUGGGACCCAAGUGGGUACUUGAAUCAGAACCCCAAGCUCACAGGCCUGUGGUCUCGGUGCUCAGACACAUUCUCCCAGCACAGCCUCAUCUCCACGCCAGGAGAUCAAGACAGACCGUCGGGUCCUGGCCUAGUCUUGCAGUAGUCCUGAAUUCCUAUCCUUUCCUUCUUGAAUAGCUUUAGUCAGAGAAAUUUAGAGUAGGGGGUAGUUUUCUUGAUUUCUUUUUUAAAAACAAGGCUCAGUUCAUUAGCAGUCAGAUACAUAGAAAUAAUGAAACGAUUUAAAGCCAGUUUGUGCAUUUUUAAAAGUUCUCACAAGGGGAAUAAUGGACCUGAAAUUCCUUUAGUACCAGAAAGGACAUGUUUUAUAAAACAUCUGCCCAUCCAAAGGACAUUUUUACUUUUAAUCUUUGGUCUCUCUGAGAUACCACAGAAGGUUGCUGCAGAUUCUUUCUGAGCAGUGAGGGACUAAACUGUGGUGAUAGGACGAUACCUGUGGCUACCUCCCUGCUGCGCUUGCUGUCCUCCUGUCCCUCAGACCCAGCCUUGGUGGUCUGCUCCCCACCAAGAGGAAGAAGAAAUGGACAACUGCACCAUCACGCAGAAUGGGCUGUGGCAGCAUCUCAUUUUGGGAACCAAUGAAUUCAAGAUGGUAGAAAUAGCAAAAUAUUGAAUUUCUUUCAGUUUUAAGAUGAUUAAUUUUCUCAUGGGUAAUCGGCCUCCUGAAAAAUCUUUUAUGACAAUACAGUGAAAAUCAGUCUACGAAAGAUGGAAGAAACCCCUACUUAAAUAAUAAACAAACGAGACUGUUAGAUACGGGUGGAGUUAGGUAAAACAUACACUUGUACAUUAAAAUUGGUGUAAUAUUAACUGGAGGAUAGUGUGACUAAAUAUACUUCAUGUGCCUGUUAAGUAUGUAUGUUUUAAGAGAAAUUUUAAGACUUAUACCCAUAAAGAUAUUUAUGAAAAUGUUUCCAGAAAGAGCAAAAAGCUGGAAAUGAUUGAAAUGAGUUAUAACAGGAGGACUGGUUACUAAGUUGAAAUGUAGCUAUUAAAAAUAAUAAUGGGAGUCUAUUCAGACCUUAGUCUUCAGACUAAAAAUGUUAAUGACAGAGGUGCAUGCAAUAGAAUUAUUGGAGCAUAUGCUGUGAUUGAACUUAUAAAAAUAUUGUCUUGCUGGGUGCAGUGGUGCAUACCUCUAGUCCCGGUGGCUCCGGAGGCUGAGGCAGGGGAAUCAUGAGUUCAAAGCCAGCCUUAGCAACUUGGUGAGGCCCUAAGCAACUUAGUGAGACCCUGUCUCUAAAUAAAAUAUAAAAAGGAACUGGGGAUGUGGCUCAGUGGUUAAGCGCCCAUGUGUUCAAUUCCUAGUACCAGGAAAAAAAAAAAUUGUCUCCAUGUGAACCAGGACGAGAAAAAGAAAAUAGCAUGUUGGAAUGGAGGCAGGGGGGCAAAAAAAUACAUACGUGUUUAUUUGCAUUUCCUGAAAUUAUUUAUCAGUGUACAAAAGUAAGAAACCACUUUUGUUAUGUAUAUUGUGAUCUUUGAAUGAAAUAAUUUGAAUAUAAAAUAUGUUCAAUCUGUGUCUUAGGAUUUAUUAAAAUAAAUUGAUAGCCAAAAAAAGUGAUGAAGAUUCUUAUACAUUAUAUAAAGAACACAGAAUAACAACAGGGAAAUAUAUGCCUGCUACCUUAAUGUAUCAGAUCUGAGUAUUUGCUUCAUGUUUCAAAAAGAUAUAGAACAUUACAGACACGAUUAAAGCCCCUUGGGUCCAAAAAAAAUUUUGAAAAUUUUGUUUAACAUCUUAAUUAUUUCUGCUUACACUAUAUUUUAAUAUUAGUCAUUUUCAGAAGGCAGAAUCAAUAGGUUUUGGUUUCUCAGCUUAGAUUAGGGCUUUGUAGGUACGUGGCUCGGUAUGCAGAUACUGAAUUUCUCAGUAUAGACACUGGGGCUAGGACCUUAAGUUAUCUGAUCCUUGGUUUCCUUAAGUAUGAAACCAGGGGGAAGGGAUCCAGCCUAUCUCAGAAGAUAAGCACAAAAUGAAUAGUAUCUUAGAGGUUACCAUAAGAAGAAUUCCAGAGGAGAGUUGGCCAGGCAACCAGGGGAAAAGCUUUGCCGGCAUAAAGAACAGCUGGAACAAAAGCCCAGAGGCAUGGCCUAGGGAAAAUGGCGGGGAUCUCAGCUCGCAGGACAGUGGAAAGAAGAGGUCACCUGGCUCAACGGGCUUCUCGAAGCUCUGCUCUCCAGUGUGGGUCCAGCAGCAGCAGCCUUUCCCGUGUUCUUGUGUCUUCUUGCUCCUUUCUCUGCCUUUCAAGACCAACUGUGUUCUUCAGUGGAGACUCCACGGAGCCUACUGUGGCAGUGUUUGUCCCUACCUGCUUCCUCCACCAGACAGAUGGCCCUCUGAUUUAGACAUCUUCCCCCACACCUAGCCUGGAGGCAGCACCUCAGUCCAGGAUUGUUCCAUAGUAAACGGGGAGGUGGGAGGAGGGCAAAGGCUCUUGCAGGCACCAAUCCUCAGACAUCUCACAGAAGUAGGCAUGCUCCUUGAUCCCACAGGAAGGAGGAGUACUUUAAGUACUGUUUUCAAAAAUGGUCCACACAAUCAAUCAUUGGAACACGUUCAAAGAAGGAAAGAAGGGAGGAUGAAGGAGACCGUGCAGGUCAUCCAGCGGUAUCCUCGGGGUGGAGGCAUCCCCCUCCUCAGUCCAGCCCAGCUAAACUUGCCCUGCUCCCCCUUCUGCUCCCCACAUGUUGCAUCUUUCCUGAAACUUUGGGACCCAAUCCUGAUCAUGUCUCUCUGUGGAAUGUUCAGGCUCUGGGAUUCAGAAAAACCAAAAAUUAAUGGAAGUUGUCCUACUGCUGAUGCCAACCAGAGAUUGUCCACUGGGUAAGAUCCUGGUCAGAGCCCAAGUUUUAAAAUCAGGGAAAUCCUCAUGUCAAUAGGAACUGGAUAGAGAAUAGAGAGUCCUGAAGUUCACAUCUGGUGGCUAUCAACUGUGGCAUAACCAACCGUCCCCAGACUUACCUGAAAUAGUAUAAACCUUGAUUUUGCUUAUAAAUUGAUAAUCUGGGUGGUGCUCAAUGCAGGCAGUCCUAACGGACACUGCUUUAGAUUUCUGGGGUCUUACCCAAAGGAUCAGCCUCAUAGUGUCAUUCUAGAUUUUAUGUUAGGCUGAAGUCUCUUUCUUCCUUUUUUUUAAUAUUUAUUUUUUAGUUAUAGGUGAACACAAUAUCUUUAUUUUAUUUUAUUUUUAUGUGGUGCUGAGGAUAGAACCCAGUGCCUCAUGCAUGCUAGGUGAGCGCUCUACCUGUGAACCACAACCCCAGCCCCUGAAGUCUCUUUCUUAAUUUGAGAAUUGCUUGCCAUCUGGGAAGACUUGGGAAUGAAAAACACUUUGAUAUUUCCAUCUAGUAAGUUCUGGUUUCUUGAACUCAUUUCUCCUUUUGCAUUUUAUCAUAGCUAGUGAGAAAAGUCAGGUGGCACUUUCAAUAUUGUGCCUGGAAAUCUUCUAAGCUAGAUCAUCAAAAUUACUAGGUACCUUCCUCUGUUUGGUGUUACUCUAGGCUACAGUGUGGCCAAACUUUCUGCCACUAUAAAACAAAGAUUCCCUUUACUUUGAGAUUCCUGUAACAUUCCAUGGAUGUUAUAGAUUCUCAUAACAUUUUUGGGGGGUGGGGGGAAUACCAAGAAUUGAACCCAGAGACCCUUAACCACUGAAUCACAUCCCUAGUCCAUUUUUUAAAAAAAAUGUAGUUUAUUUUAAUUUGAGAUAAGGCCUCACUAAGUUGUUUAGGGUCUUGCAAUCUGUUGCUGAGGCUGGCUUUGAACUUCUGAUCCGCCUGCCUCAGUUUCCCAAGCCACUGACUAGGAUUACAGGUGUGUGCCACCAUGCUCAGCUCCUACAGCAUUUUCUGUAUGUUCUCAUUGGUAGACUUCUCAAGUCCCUCCAGGCUUUUGCUAACAUUCUCUUUGAGGUCCUUUAGGCUGCCUGGUCCCAAAGCCAAUGUCAUUCAUUUUAGAAUUUUAUGACAGUAACUGACCUCUGGGUACAAUUACUUAUUGAGGUUAUCCAUUGCUGCAUAACAAUCUACCCCAAACUUGUCUUAAGACAACAGUUAUCAAUUUUACUCAUCUGAACAGUCUCAGCAGAGUCAGCUGAUUUCUGUGACAUGUGGCAUCAACUGGUGGCUUGGCUGGGCAGGAGAAUCCACCUCAAAAGGGUUCACUUCCAUGCUGGCAUUUUGAGGUUGAUGGUUGCUUCCUCUCUCUGGGGGCCUCCCAAUGGGACAGACUGGACUUUCUCACUGGAGAUUGGGUUUUAAGAAUAAGCACCCGGAGGACUCACACGGAAGCAGCCAGUUUCCAUUGGCCAGGCAGUCACAGAGAACGAACGAACGUUUCAAAGUCACAUCUUAAGAGGAACAUGUGGGAUGGAAUGUAUUGCUAGAAUCAACUUUGAACAAUACAAUCUGCCACAGAAUUCUUGUUCUUAGAAGUUUGGAUUAUGGUUUAUAGCCACUGGGGGGCUGUAACUAUCAAUUCCCAACAUGAUCAUUGAGUUUUAUGCUUCCUGAAUGUGUUUGUGACCCAGAAAUAAAGCUGACUGCACCCAG